Molecule: transfer RNA, 76 nt
Filed under: Faecalibacterium sp. CAG:1138
Lineage: Bacteria; Bacillati; Bacillota; Clostridia; Eubacteriales; Oscillospiraceae
Also listed under: 2 other names
Description: transfer RNA-Lys(TTT)
Rfam family: tRNA
About the family: Transfer RNA (tRNA) molecules are approximately 80 nucleotides in length. Their secondary structure includes four short double-helical elements and three loops (D, anti-codon, and T loops).
Source: RNAcentral
GCCCCAUUAGCUCAGUCGGUAGAGCACUUGACUUUUAAUCAAGGUGUCCGGGGUUCGAAUCCCCGAUGGAGCACCA